UAGGAGUUCUCUUUGGAAAUCUGCAU
This 26-nucleotide non-coding RNA is filed under the name Rattus norvegicus (Norway rat). Lineage: Eukaryota; Metazoa; Chordata; Mammalia; Rodentia; Muridae. The record is from RNAcentral.